CUGUGGUCGGCAGAUAAGCCAUGGCGGGAAACGUCAAAAAGGAGAUGUCAAUGUCAUUGUCAAGGAAGGGGGGAGUUGAUUUGAAUAUGGAGUCGUGUUCUUGUACUUUCUGAUUUAAUUUGUUUGUUAUUGAUAUAAAUCCUCAUGUUUUCAAGUUGUAUUAAUGAUUUAUCGUAAAACGAACCUAUUUCACAAAUGAGUUUACUUUUUGUGCCACCUUUUCCUUCUGGUUUUAACAUCAGAAGUGGGAUUCUUUCCACGCGCUAUUUUCCGCUUCUGCCUAUGUUUUUCAUACAAUACAAGUUAAAUCAGAAAAAUACAGAAAUAUUGGUAUUCUGCACACUUUAUUUUAUAAAUUUUCUGUCCCCUAGGCGGUGAGUUUAUGAGUUCUUGUUGUAUAAAGCCGGUACGUAAGUACAUUGGUGUUGUGAAAAGAAGUAACAGGUAGUUUGGUAUUAUUCCUAUUUUGAAGUGCUGAGUUUUGGAUUGCCUAGAGCGUGGUGUUGAAGACUUUGAGAAGACGUUGCGGUCGAGGACGUCACGCCAUCAGGAAAGGCCGUGUUACAAAUAUAACUCCGAACCUCAGAAUAAUAACAGGAAGCAAUCGUAUUUACACCGCGACUACGUACUCUGUGGUCGGCAGAUAAGCCAUGGCGGGAAACGUCAAAAAGGAGAUGUCAAUGUCAUUGUCAAGGAAGGGGGGAGUUGAUUUGAAUAUGGAGUCGUGUUCUUGUACUUUCUGAUUUAAUUUGUUUGUUAUUGAUAUAAAUCCUCAUGUUUUCAAGUUGUAUUAAUGAUUUAUCGUAAAACGAACCUAUUUCACAAAUGAGUUUACUUUUUGUGCCACCUUUUCCUUCUGGUUUUAACACAUGUUUAU
Molecule: non-coding RNA, 877 nt
Organism: Plutella xylostella (diamondback moth)
Lineage: Eukaryota; Metazoa; Arthropoda; Insecta; Lepidoptera; Plutellidae
Source: RefSeq, a predicted model, not a curated record